UCCGUAGGUGAACCUGCGGAAGGAUCAUUACCUUUCAAUGCAGCAGAAUUGGGAUGGUUGAGUAUCUCGCCUUCCAAUUCUGCCUGUAUUCCACCCUUGUUUGUCAUACUAUUAUUUCCUCGGCAGGCUUGCCUGCCGAGUGAAACCAAUUAUAACCUAUUUAAUUUUCAAUCAGCGUCUGAAAAAAAUUAAUAAUUACAACUUUCAACAACGGAUCUCUUGGUUCUGGCAUCGAUGAAGAACGCAGCGAAAUGCGAUAAGUAGUGUGAAUUGCAGAAUUCAGUGAAUCAUCGAAUCUUUGAACGCACAUUGCGCCCCUUGGUAUUCCAUGGGGCAUGCCUGUUCGAGCGUCAUUAUCACCCCUCAAGCCUCCGGUUUGGUGUUGGGCUUUGGCGGUUCGCGAGAACCACCGGCCUCAAAUAUAAUGACGGCGUCCCCGUGAGACUCGACGCACUGAGCUUUUAACCACAAGGCACGCGUCCGUAGCGCUCCGGGUCGACAACCGGUCUCAACUUUUUACCAUUUUAACAAGGUUGACCUCGGAUCAGGUAGGGAUACCCGGCUGAACUUAAGGCAUAUCAAUAAGGCGGGAGGGGAAGGUCGACUGGCCAAGGGCACACAGGGGGGGGAUA
Molecule: ribosomal RNA, 632 nt
Filed under: uncultured fungus
Lineage: Eukaryota; Fungi
Description: eukaryotic LSU rRNA
Rfam family: 5.8S ribosomal RNA (bases 200-353)
Source: RNAcentral